UGCAGUCGAGCGGACAGAUGGGAGCUUGCUCCCUGAUGUUAGCGGCGGACGGGUGAGUAACACGUGGGUAACCUGCCUGUAAGACUGGGAUAACUCCGGGAAACCGGGGCUAAUACCGGAUGGUUGUUUGAACCGCAUGGUUCAGACAUAAAAGGUGGCUUCGGCUACCACUUACAGAUGGACCCGCGGCGCAUUAGCUAGUUGGUGAGGUAACGGCUCACCAAGGCGACGAUGCGUAGCCGACCUGAGAGGGUGAUCGGCCACACUGGGACUGAGACACGGCCCAGACUCCUACGGGAGGCAGCAGUAGGGAAUCUUCCGCAAUGGACGAAAGUCUGACGGAGCAACGCCGCGUGAGUGAUGAAGGUUUUCGGAUCGUAAAGCUCUGUUGUUAGGGAAGAACAAGUGCCGUUCAAAUAGGGCGGCACCUUGACGGUACCUAACCAGAAAGCCACGGCUAACUACGUGCCAGCAGCCGCGGUAAUACGUAGGUGGCAAGCGUUGUCCGGAAUUAUUGGGCGUAAAGGGCUCGCAGGCGGUUUCUUAAGUCUGAUGUGAAAGCCCCCGGCUCAACCGGGGAGGGUCAUUGGAAACUGGGGAACUUGAGUGCAGAAGAGGAGAGUGGAAUUCCACGUGUAGCGGUGAAAUGCGUAGAGAUGUGGAGGAACACCAGUGGCGAAGGCGACUCUCUGGUCUGUAACUGACGCUGAGGAGCGAAAGCGUGGGGAGCGAACAGGAUUAGAUACCCUGGUAGUCCACGCCGUAAACGAUGAGUGCUAAGUGUUAGGGGGUUUCCGCCCCUUAGUGCUGCAGCUAACGCAUUAAGCACUCCGCCUGGGGAGUACGGUCGCAAGACUGAACUCAAAGGAAUUGACGGGGGGCCCGCACAAGCGGUG
This 896-nucleotide ribosomal RNA is filed under the name Bacillus velezensis. RNAcentral's name for it is "bacterial SSU rRNA". It matches the Rfam family "Bacterial small subunit ribosomal RNA", at positions 56 to 934 of the family's 1533-position model. The record is from RNAcentral. Lineage: Bacteria; Bacillati; Bacillota; Bacilli; Caryophanales; Bacillaceae. RNAcentral also lists the same sequence under 1 other name.